GCCGGCGACCGGCGCACGGGUGAGUAACGCGUAUGCAAGUUACCUAUCAGAGGGGGAUAACCCGGCGAAAGUCGGACUAAUACCGCAUGAAGCAGGGGCCCCGCAUGGGGAUAUUUGCUAAAGAUUCAUCGCUGAUAGAUAGGCAUGCGUUCCAUUAGGCAGUUGGCGGGGUAACGGCCCACCAAACCGACGAUGGAUAGGGGUUCUGAGAGGAAGGUCCCCCACAUUGGUACUGAGACACGGACCAAACUCCUACGGGAGGCAGCAGUGAGGAAUAUUGGUCAAUGGCCGAGAGGCUGAACCAGCCAAGUCGCGUGAGGGAUGAAGGUUCUAUGGAUCGUAAACCUCUUUUAUAAGGGAAUAAAGUGCGGGACGUGUCCCGUUUUGUAUGUACCUUAUGAAUAAGGAUCGGCUAACUCCGUGCCAGCAGCCGCGGUAAUACGGAGGAUCCGAGCGUUAUCCGGAUUUAUUGGGUUUAAAGGGUGCGUAGGCGGCCUUUUAAGUCAGCGGUGAAAGUCUGUGGCUCAACCAUAGAAUUGCCGUUGAAACUGGGAGGCUUGAGUAUGUUUGAGGCAGGCGGAAUGCGUGGUGUAGCGGUGAAAUGCAUAGAUAUCACGCAGAACCCCGAUUGCGAAGGCAGCCUGCCAAGCCAUGACUGACGCUGAUGCACGAAAGCGUGGGGAUCAAACAGGAUUAGAUACCCUGGUAGUCCACGCAGUAAACGAUGAUCACUAGCUGUUUGCGAUACAGUGUAAGCGGCACAGCGAAAGCGUUAAGUGAUCCACCUGG
This 789-nucleotide ribosomal RNA is filed under the name uncultured bacterium. RNAcentral's name for it is "bacterial SSU rRNA". It matches the Rfam family "Bacterial small subunit ribosomal RNA", at positions 87 to 876 of the family's 1533-position model. The record is from RNAcentral.